This 75-nucleotide transfer RNA is filed under the name Hirsutella minnesotensis 3608. Its description in RNAcentral is "tRNA-Und (NNN) (tRNA-Und-NNN-2-1)". Lineage: Eukaryota; Fungi; Ascomycota; Sordariomycetes; Hypocreales; Ophiocordycipitaceae. The record is from RNAcentral.
GCCUCCAUGGCGUAGUGGUGACACGUCUGGAGUCUCUGCGCCGCAGAGAGGUCGGUUCGAAACCGGCUGGAGGCA